GAUGAACGCUGGCGGCGUGCCUAAUACAUGCAAGUCGAGCGAACGGACGAGAAGCUUGCUUCUCUGAUGUUAGCGGCGGACGGGCGAGUAACACGUGGAUAACCUACCUAUAAGACUGGGAUAACUUCGGAAAACCGGAGCUAAUACCGGAUAAUAUUUUGAACCGCAUGGUUCAAAAGUGAAAGACGGUCUUGCUGUCACUUAUAGAUGGAUCCUCGCUGCAUUAGCUAGUUGGUAAGGUAACGGCUUACCAAGGCAACGAAGCAUAGCCGACCUGAGAGGGUGAUCGGCCAACCGGGAACUGAGCCCCGGUCCAGACUCCUACGGGAGGCAGCAGUAGGGAAUCUUCCGCAAUGGGCGAAAGCUUGACGGGGCAACGCCGCGUGAGUGAUGAAGGUUUCCGGAUCGUAAAACUCUGUUAUUAGGGAAAACCAUAUGUGUAAGUAACUGUGCACAUCUUGACGGUACCUAAUCAGAAAGCCACGGCUAACUACGUG
Molecule: ribosomal RNA, 497 nt
Filed under: uncultured bacterium
Lineage: Bacteria
Description: partial 16S ribosomal RNA
Rfam family: Bacterial small subunit ribosomal RNA
Source: RNAcentral